UCCCCGUUACCGGGGCAGUCUAGCCAGAGAAAUCCAACUGACUAUAGGGGUUGCGCUCGUUGAAGGACUUAACCUAACAUCUCACGACACGAGCUGAAGACGGCCAUGCAACACCUGUCACUACGGUCCGAAGACACUUUCUCCUUUCGGAGAAAUUAGUAGGAUGUCAAACCCUGGUAAGGUUCUUCGCUUACCAUCGAAUUAAAGAACACGCUCCACCGCUUGUGCGGGUCCCCGUCAAUUCCUUUAUGUUUUAAGCUUGCGCUCGUACUCCACAGGCGGGAUGCUUAACGCGUUAGCUUCGCUACUAGACGGGUCGAUACGUCUAACAGCCAGCAUCCAUAGUUUACGGCGUGGACUAC
RNAcentral lists this unclassified non-coding RNA (362 nucleotides) under uncultured bacterium. RNAcentral describes it as "contains 16S-23S intergenic spacer region". The record is from RNAcentral.